This 482-nucleotide ribosomal RNA is filed under the name uncultured bacterium. Its description in RNAcentral is "partial 16S ribosomal RNA". It matches the Rfam family "Bacterial small subunit ribosomal RNA", at positions 28 to 507 of the family's 1533-position model. The record is from RNAcentral.
GAUGAACGCUAGCGGCAGGCCUAAUACAUGCAAGUCGGACGGGAUUCAGGAGCUUGCUUCUGAUGAGAGUGGCGCACGGGUGCGUAACACGUAUGUAACCUACCUUUAUCAGGGGGAUAGCCUCUCGAAAGAGAGAUUAAGCCCGCAUAAAAUCACAGCACAGCAUUGUGUAAUGAUCAAAUAUUUAUAGGAUAAAGAUGGGCAUGCGGAACAUUAGCUAGAUGGCGGGGUAACGGCCCACCAUGGCGACGAUGUUUAGGGGAUCUGAGAGGAUGGCCCCCCACACUGGUACUGAGACACGGACCAGACUCCUACGGGAGGCAGCAGUAAGGAAUAUUGGUCAAUGGGCGGAAGCCUGAACCAGCCAUGCCGCGUGCAGGAAGACGGCCCUACGGGUUGUAAACUGCUUUUAUACGGGAAUAAACUCAGAUACGGGUAUCUGGCUGAAUGUACUGUAAGAAUAAGGAUCGGCUAACUCCGUG